Brassica napus (rape) is the source of this 2134-nucleotide long non-coding RNA. RefSeq lists it as uncharacterized. The transcript has 9 exons. Lineage: Eukaryota; Viridiplantae; Streptophyta; Magnoliopsida; Brassicales; Brassicaceae. The record is from RefSeq and is a predicted model, not a curated record.
CAGUUAGUCAUGAACAUUGGCUAUCCAUUAAGGUACGAGUUGUUUUUUCCGGGUAUCAUUUUUUUUAGAAAUUAGGUCUCGUUUGUAUAUUAUAAAUUUAUGUAUGGUUUUGAGUUGAGUCAUUCUAGGUCUGGAUGAGUUCGGUUCUGAUGUAUAAGAACCUAAAAAUAUCUAAAUAACAAACGUAUCUGAAACGAGUUCGAAUAUUUGUAACAAAUAUAACGAUAUUAUCUGAUUCGGUCCAGGUCUUUUGAAUACAAUUAGUUAUAUCAUGACCUAUCUAAAAUAUAUAACACUAAUUAUAAAAUAUAAACAUUAAUAUAUAAAAAUGGAAGAAUCAAUAUCGCGGGUGUGCAGAUCAAUCUCUAGUUAAAUAUUAGAGUAAAUAUUAGAGCAAAGGCAAAGAAUUCAACCGGUCAAAUGAUAAAAAAAAAAAUAAUCUUGCUGACUUUUCCCACCAGCAACAUUGCAACAAUCAUCCACGUCAUCUUCGAUUUAUUUUGUUUUGGGUUUGGUUUGUUUUCGGCCUGUUUGUUCUGCAGCUUUUAGCCCACAUCUUGACUUCCACAUCUUCCAUUACUCUUCUCUCCAAACCGUAUGCGCUUCCAAUUCCCCUUUGGUGGACCAAGUUACUUUUUGCAAUUAUGUCACACUUCUCUCUCCGUUGAGAAUGAGAAUGUCCACGUCAGCAACAACUUUAUUUAUUUAUUUAUGCUACUUUUAUUUUUAAGAAGAAAAAAACGUUUCAUAUUUUGCAAAGGUACAAACUUUUCACUUUCCUUCUUCUUAUUUUGACAGUCAUUCUUCUAUUCUCCAUACAUUCUCUCAAAUCUACAAAUCCUGCCUUUCCAGAAUCCUAUUGGUAACCCAAAAUCUUCGCAAUCAGCCUUAGAAAUCCAACCAUGCAAUCCAACUAUUUAUAGAAGCAAAAACCCAGAUUGUGGAUUAAGAAAAUUGAGAGGGGAGGGGAAACCUAAGAGAAUCACCCGUUAGUGGAAAUCUCAAAAAAUGGAUUCAGGGUAAAGAAAUAAAAGUAAAGUCUUCGAAAAUUGGAAGAGAUAACAAACCAGAUUAGGCUGUAAAGCUGUACUUGCAGCUGAGUUUCUCUUCCUGCGAACCCUCAACCACUCCUCUGCAAAUGGCUGCCUCCGAUGGAAUUUCUGCUGAACUUGCUGCUCAGCACGCAACCUUUGACGAUCUCGGCCUUGGUCUGCCCUCUCAGGUUUUACCUAGGGGGUAUCGAUCACAGGAUGCAAGGAUUUUCAAACAAGUAUCUGGACCUACAGUCAAAGAACCUCGGGCUCUAUGGGACGACUUCGGGUUACGAGUUCUCAUGGGCCUGUUGAGAGGUCGUCGUUAGCCGGUUUCUUAUCUUUUUGGCGGGAAGGAUUUAGUGCUAAAUUCUGGUAAGAGUGGACACCACGGUUAGUUCAAGUUAUAUUUUGACUUGAACAUUUACGCCAGCCAAGCUUUCAUCAACAGUUGCUGAGGAUUUUUCGCAUGUCGAGACAAUGGGAGAGAUUCAAAAGCAAGAACUUGUGUCAAUUGGGGGAUCUCUGCACGCACCUUUCCAAGUCCACCGACCAGACUAAUUGGCGGUGGAGUGUCAGAGCUCCCAAGAUGCUUCAAAGAACUUGCUGGCAAGCAGUGUCUCUUUCAGAUUCGAGUGACACCCUACAAUUUCACUCCCCACUACCGGACCUUUACAGUAGACGAAUAUGUGGAUGUGAAGACUCAUUCAGGGGGUGAAAGUAACAACAGAGCUCCACAAGUGGUAAGCCAAAGUGAGCAACCACCUGCUUCUGCAAGCGAUCCGGUAGAUGCUGCUACAAAAGUGAUGGCAGUGGAUCAACCAACACCACCCAGCUUUGGAGUCCAAGUUGGAAACGCUACCUUGAGUGAAAGUUGGAAGUGUAGUAAGUUGUAGAUUACCUACAGUUUAUGUUCGUGCAUUACAAACUGUACAUUAACUAUUUCCCUUUUGUUUUUAAUUUCCAUGUUUUUUUUUUUGUUUUUAAAUUUGCUGCAACCAAGUAUAGAAGGAUCAAGGAAGAUCAUAAACAUUAUUGUUAAUAUUGUAUAUUUAUUAUAUAAGAUACUCAUAUAUAUUUGUAUAUAUCUAGUUUAGGAAACA